GACGAACGCUGGCGGCGUGCUUAAUACAUGCAAGUCGAACGGAAAGGCCCUGCGUUUGCGGGGCGCUCGAGUGGCGAACGGGUGAGUAACACGUGAGUAACAUGCCCUUGACUUUGGGAGAACAUCAGGAAACUGGGGCUAAUACCGGAUAUGAGCUCUUGCUGCAUGGUGGGGGUUGGAAAGUUUCGGCGGUUGGGGCUGGACUCGCGGCUUAUCAGCUUGUUGGUGGGGUAGUGGCUUACCAAGGCUUUGACGGGUAGCCGGCCUGGGAGGGUGACCGGCCACAUUGGGACUGAGAUACGGCCCAGACUCCUACGGGAGGCAGCAGUGGGGAAUAUUGCACAAUGGGCGGAAGCCUGAUGCAGCAACGCCGCGUGCGGGAUGACGGCCUUCGGGUUGUAAACCGCUUUCGCCUGUGACGAAGCGUGAGUGACGGUAAUGGGUAAAGAAGCACCGGCUAACUACGUG
Molecule: ribosomal RNA, 468 nt
Filed under: uncultured bacterium
Lineage: Bacteria
Description: partial 16S ribosomal RNA
Rfam family: Bacterial small subunit ribosomal RNA
Source: RNAcentral